Molecule: long non-coding RNA, 965 nt
Filed under: Sinocyclocheilus grahami
Lineage: Eukaryota; Metazoa; Chordata; Actinopteri; Cypriniformes; Cyprinidae
Description: lncRNA (ENSSGRG00000045746.1)
Source: RNAcentral
CUACUAAUCUAUCACUAGCAAGUGAAAUAUAACAAUUUACUAGCCAAUGGCUAAAGACAGACAAUAUUUAGUUGCCUGAUGUGAAAUGUGGUUGCAUAUGCAAGUGAUUUACUCGCAUUGUGCAGGUUUGAAAACGUUAAUAACAAUAAUAAUGCAUUGAAGUAAAUCUUAAAUGAGACAACCAAACCAGCCCACAUCAAACUAUAAAGCACAAUUUAUAUUUGCACUACACUGGCUACUAUUUGAGGGGUUUCUCUGUCCUGGACGUACCCCUCUGUGGCUCUAUACGGGCUGAGCUCCAAGAAGGAUUGUGUGAAGCUAAUAAAGUCCAAGUCCAGGUCCUCCCUCUGCAUCCGUCCCAGAGAAAGCCUAAUCCCGUUAGCUGUGCUUUCUCAUGGAUAAUCCCUCCACUUCCCACCUGGCCGUCCUUCAGCCUCAGCCUCUCUCUGGGAUGACCGUCUUCUGCUGAACACUGCAGGUGUUCAAGCUAGGAGAGAUUAGGGUCAGAUGCAUUUACCGGUGAUUAACAGUGACACAAGCCGACACAAACAACCAUGAUCCUGCUGGUGCAAAACCCCUGUGACCAAGAGCGAGAAACAGUUUGAUUGGUUUCAAAUUAAGACAGCAUGUUUAGCUGGGUGAUAAAGGUUGUUCCCCAGCCUCCAGCAUCUCCUGGGAAGCUGGCAGAGGAGGACCAGACCAAUGCUUCCACUGCAGCACCAGAUGUGACGAAAAAAGAGGAAGUAAAACAAGGUAACUAUGCACUCUAUCAAAUUUGACAGCAGUUUUGAUCAAUGACCAACACUGAAUCACAGAAAAAAAUACAGACCUGAGAGCACUGUUCAUUUAUUUUUCAUAAUGUUAUUUUACAGAAACUUCCAAGUCAACGGAGGAGGUCUCAGACGAGAACAGGUGAUGUUAUGUUUGUGUGUGUGUGUGUGUGUGUGUGUGUGUGUGUGUGUGUG